UGUGGGAGGGGGCUUGCCCCCGAUAGCGGUGUGUCAGCUAAUCAAAAGUCGACUGGCACCCUGUCAUCGGGGGCAAGCCCCCUCCCACA
RNAcentral lists this unclassified non-coding RNA (89 nucleotides) under Pseudomonas orientalis. Lineage: Bacteria; Pseudomonadati; Pseudomonadota; Gammaproteobacteria; Pseudomonadales; Pseudomonadaceae. The record is from RNAcentral.